RNAcentral lists this long non-coding RNA (1059 nucleotides) under Homo sapiens (human). RNAcentral describes it as "HSALNT0014330". The record is from RNAcentral. Lineage: Eukaryota; Metazoa; Chordata; Mammalia; Primates; Hominidae.
CCUGCUUACCUCAUAGGUGUUUCUUCCUUGUUGACAUAGGAUGUCAGGUAGAAUGGUCAUCUUGUGACCAGGAGAUGACAAGAAGGAGAACAAGGCUAAUAUGCCAAGGAUGAAAGAGUGGAAAGAUGGAAAGAGCACAGGUCAUCAUCUGGACUCUCAAUCACAAGAAAUGCAAGUUCUGAAAAAGUUCUCAAAAGGAAUAGGUCCCUUCUGAAGCCACAAACCGGGCUUUUCUCAGAGAAGAUGGCUGCAACUUUGCUGCUGAGUUUCAGGCCAAGAAAACAGUGGAGCUUCCCGAACUCUCAAUGACCAGUGAUGCACCUUGGAUUUUUUCAUGGCUUGAAUGUUUGUCUCCUCCAAAACUCAUGCUGAAAUUUAAUUGCCAUUGUGAUGGUAUUGGGAAGUGGGACUUUUAAGAAGUGAUUGGUCAUGAGGGCUCGCCCUCAUGAAUGGACUAAUGCCAUCACCGUAGGAGUGCGUUUGCUAUGGCAGGAAUAAGUUCACUCCUUCUUGCUCUCUCUCUCUGUCUCUCUUCCUCCUGCCCCACCCCCGACCUUUCUUCCCGUAACCAUUGCCCUUUCAUCAUGUGAUGCCAUCUGCCAUGUUACGAUGCAGCCAUAAGGCCCUGACCAGAUGCUGGCAACUUGAUAUUGAACUUCCCAGGGUCCAGAACCAUGAGCCUAAACAUUUCUAUUCAUUAUAAAUUACCCAGUCUCAGGUAUUCUGUUAUAGAAGCACAAAACAGAUGAAGACAGGUUCCAGUGGUUUUACACCCAUCUUUCUAUCAAUCACCUUCUUCCUGAGGAUUUGAUAAAGAUGAUGUGUUAGGCUGGGCAUCCCAAAUUUCUUUCCAUUGUGGUUGAAGAACAUACUUUGCAUGAUUUCAAUCCUUUUAAUUUAUUGAGGUAUGUUUUAUGGCCUAAUAUCUGGUCAAUCCUGGACAAUGUUCCAUGUUCACUUGAAAAGAAUGUCUAUUCUCCUGCUGUUAGAUGAAAUGUUCUGUAUAUGUCUGUUAGGCCUAGAGCUUUCAUAGUGCUAUUCAAGUCUUCUUAUUUCCUU